This 394-nucleotide ribosomal RNA is filed under the name uncultured Chrysophyceae. RNAcentral's name for it is "partial small subunit ribosomal RNA". It matches the Rfam family "Eukaryotic small subunit ribosomal RNA", at positions 30 to 432 of the family's 1831-position model. Lineage: Eukaryota; Chrysophyceae. The record is from RNAcentral.
GCUUGUCUCAAAGAUUAAGCCAUGCAUGUCUAAGUGUAAAUAAGUCUAUACUGUGAAACUGCGAAUGGCUCAUUAAAUCAGUUAUCGUUUAUUUGAUGGUUCUUGCUACUUGGAUAACCGUAGUAAUUCUAGAGCUAAUACAUGCGUCAAACCUCGACUUCUGGGAGAGGUGUAUUUAUUAGAUGGAAACCAAUGCGGGGCAACCCGGUAUAUGGUGAUUCAUAAUAACUUUCGGAUCGAUCUUCGGAUCGAUGCAUCAUUCAAGUUUCUGCCCUAUCAGCUUUGGAUGGUAGGAUAUGGGCCUACCAUGGCAUUAACGGGUAACGGGGAAUUAGGGUUUGAUUCCGGAGAGGGAGCCUUAGAAACGGCUACCACAUCCAAGGAAGGCAGCAGG